RNAcentral lists this small RNA (926 nucleotides) under Pan troglodytes (chimpanzee). Its description in RNAcentral is "retained intron". Lineage: Eukaryota; Metazoa; Chordata; Mammalia; Primates; Hominidae. The record is from RNAcentral.
AUUGAUUUCAUGUCUUAUUGCUCCUCAUGAUUCUGUGGGUUGACUGGGCAGUUUUUCUACUCUGGACCAAAGUGACAGGGGCUGGAUGAUUUAACAUGGCCUCACUCACAUAUCUGGGGCUUCAGUUAGGACAGCUGCAUGUCUUUUCCCACAUGGAAAUAUAUCUUUCAGAAGGCCCACUGGGAUUCUUCACCCAAUGAUCCCCAUGAUCCCAGCAGCAAGCAAAGACAAAUCACUAGGUGGAAGCUCUUCAUCAGGCUCUGCUUGUAUCACAUUUGCUAGGAUACUACAGGGUAUAUAGGCAAAGCUAAAUGUGAGGGGGCAGACAAAGAGACUACACUUUGAUGGGAAAAGCUGCAGAUGGGAACAUAUUUUGAAUAUACUAUGCAACUAAAGUAGAAGUUUCUAAUGCCUGAAUUGUAUAAACUGUCAAGAUAAAGUCAUACAUACAUUGAAUUAACAGCGAUUUUAUUAAGAAAUAUCUUAAGCCUUAUCUUAAUAUUAACUUUUCCUUUGUUACAGGUUCAGUCACCAUCUAUAACAAUAAGCUUUCAGAAAUGGCUGACCUAGAAAAUCUCAGCAAGCUGACUGGAGUUUGUCCACAAUCCAAUGUGCAAUUUGACUUCCUCACUGUAAGAGAAAACCUCAGACUCUUUGCUAAAAUAAAAGGGAUUCUGCCACAAGAAGUGGAUAAAGAGAUACAAAGGGUUCUGCUGGAAUUGGAAAUGAAAAAUAUUCAGGAUGUUCUUGCUCAAAACUUAAGUGGUGGACAGAAAAGAAAGCUAACCUUUGGGAUUGCCAUUUUAGGAGAUCCUCAGAUUUUCCUGUUGGAUGAACCAACUGCUGGAUUGGAUCCCUUUUCAAGACACCAAGUAUGGAACCUUCUGAAAGAACGCAAAACAGACCGCGUGAUCCUCUUCAGUACC